This is a long non-coding RNA of Oncorhynchus keta (chum salmon), 2121 nucleotides long. RefSeq lists it as uncharacterized. The record is from RefSeq and is a predicted model, not a curated record. Lineage: Eukaryota; Metazoa; Chordata; Actinopteri; Salmoniformes; Salmonidae. The transcript has 3 exons.
AAGAACACAUUCAUUUGCAUUCCUCAAAACAACUGAAUAUUAAUUAGCAUAAUAGGCCUAUAAAUUUACUGUUACACCAAAAACGCCUAAUUUCUUAAUGAGAUUUUAGGAUGGCUAGCUGAAGCUGAAUAUUCCCCCAAAAAUUAUCAUGCGCGAAAACUCAAGAGUGCACAACCAGGCAGGAUUUAUGCUUUGAUUAAAACAAUAUACAAUUAAUGCUAAUAGUUUGUUAACAGCAUCUACGCUUAAAGAUCUAAAUGCAUAUUACCAUGAAAGUGAUUGACAUGGAGAUACAGUUUGAACGUGUCACCGGUAAAACGUGAAGAAUUAUCAUUCUAUUUUGAAAUAAAUUGGUGUUGAGGGUAUUAGAAAUGUAACCUUUUCUUUAGACAAUGUGGCAUAGGCAGACAUCGCAAUUGGUGGAUGCAUUUUAUGCAUAUUCUAUAAUGAUAGGCUGGCUAUUCAAUUGGCUAAAUAUGUUGGUACAAACUUUGAUUACCUUUUUAAAAAAUUAUUAUUACGAUCCCUCACCUACAAAAAUAGCACUACACCACUGCCCAUUGUGGAGUUGAGUUUAGUCGGUUACCAUCAAUCAAACAAGAGGCAAAGGCUAUUAGUUUGACAGGCCAUGGUUUCCAUUAUAUCCUACAGAACUCCUCUACAUCUGCCUCCGCGUAGUCAAAUUUACACAUAUAAAAACACCGUAUAUAUUUCAUGAGACUGGCCUUACAGAGGCCUAGCGCUACGCUACAGUACAGUAGUACCGAAUAAACCAAGGAAAGCAGUAGGCAAGACCACAUCGUUCAGAAAUGUGUAAUUCUCUUUGGCAAGACCGUCCCAGGUAGGAAUGGAGAUUAUGUGGUCAAUGACCCCUUGAUGAGAUACCUGUGCGCAUGUCAAGAAAGGUGCGCAAGCGAGGUUGAUUUUUUGGGGGACAUGUCAGAUGACACAGACCGCGCUAGCAGUAGUUAGCUAGCGCAACUAAUAGUUAAAACAUUUCUCAAGUGCGUUCGCUGCCAGACCAAUAUAAUUACUUACACACAAACUUAGACCAUCAGACAUACAUACAUACAUAGUAACGAAAUGAACAGUAAAUUGGAAGUUGGAAACUGUUCGCUGGCUAACGUUAGUAGCAUGCAAGCCAGCAGGCUAGCUUUGAUAACGGAAAUGUAAACAAUCAUCGGAGAAUUCUGCAAAAUGAGACGAACUAAGACCGUGAAUCCAACCCAAUGAUAUCAACUUUGUUUGCCACUUCCUGCAACGCCCAGUCGGUGAUGAUGUCAUCACGCACCCACCUUUGCAUCAGCGCAGGAGCUGGGUUGAGAAAGUUCUCAGGGUCAUGCCUGGGGUCUGGGGUAAACCAGCUGGAUGGUGUGUCUACUGUAAGUGAUCAUGAAACCCAAUGGUGUGUGAAAUGGACAACUGGGACUUGGUGUUGGAUUUAUCCUAGAAUCCUCAGCCGCCAGGCAGCCACGCCUCGCAUGCGAAUAACCCAUUAUGACUCCUCCCUCUGGACAAAACACCAAAACCCCUCAUCAAGUUCAUGAAGGAGCACCAGUCAGAGUCGGUAUGGGUGAUAUGUCACUGUUAUUCUCUCUUCUUGGCAAAGGGCUACAUUAGCCUACCCCUGGGGGCUGAGUGCCCACAUCCUCCAGAGUUAUUAACCUAAGUUAGAUGUUUACCGAGACAGAUAUCCCCUGAUGAGCCCAGAGCCAGAUCUCAAAGUAUCCACUAACACUCUGCAACGUGCUGUGCCUGGACCUGGGCCAAAGCACCAGAGAGAUGGCGUAGUCGCUAAACCACCCGCUCAAAUCUCAGUUUGAUCCUCCAUUAUCACAUUAACCCUGGCUAAUUGGAGAAUAUAGGUUCCCCAGAGGAAGAGAGGGUAUUUGUACUCAUUUAGGAACAAAUCUCCACCUUUUUAUCUGACAGUGUAAUCCAAUGACCUGAAACUCAUGGUUUACAGGCCACAUCAGGCCUGUAAAUCAUAUUAUGUUGGCUUGCAAGGUGAUGUGUAAAUCCAAAUAAACACUCUGCCAUGCCUUGGACAAUUUGGUGAGAUAAAUAUGUUGGUACUAUCAGCGGUCAGAGCUCCAGUGUGCAUUAGAGAUGGAAAAAGUA